Acanthosepion pharaonis is the source of this 108-nucleotide non-coding RNA. The record is from the annotation of a GenBank genome assembly. NCBI's taxonomy places the organism in Eukaryota, Metazoa, Mollusca, Cephalopoda, Sepiida, Sepiidae.
GCUAUAUCAUAUUGAAACACCUGUUCCUAUACGAUCACUGAAGUUAAGCAAUGUCGAGCCUGGUUAGUACCAGAUGGAUGACUGCUUGGGUAUACAAAGUAUUGUAAG